UCCACCUCCGCCUCCACGGCCGCAGGUGGAUCUUCCACAGGCUUGGGAUCUUCGACGGUGGGUUCAGCGGCAUCCUCCGCGGCUGGAGCUGCCGCCGCCUCCGGCUCGGCCUCCGGCUGAGCUGCUUCGGUGGGCUCGGCCGCUGCUGGUUCGGGCUCAGCCGCUGCAGGCUCUUCGGCGGGCUUUUCUUCGGGUUCCGGAGUGACUUCUUCUUCUGCUGGAGACUCCGCCUCUGCCGCCGCCGGGGAUGCUUCUUCUUCCUCGGGCUCUUCUACGGGUGCUGCCGCGGCUUCCGUCUCGACCACCGCCUCGACG
This 315-nucleotide long non-coding RNA is filed under the name Musa acuminata (dwarf banana). RNAcentral describes it as "long non-coding RNA (MACU_LNC000978)". Lineage: Eukaryota; Viridiplantae; Streptophyta; Magnoliopsida; Zingiberales; Musaceae. The record is from RNAcentral.